GACGUAGGGGGCCAGCGUUGCUCGGAAUUACUGGGCGUAAAGGGUUCGUAGGCGGUGCGGCAAGUCGGAAGUGAAAUCUCUGGGCUUAACUCAGAGGCUGCUUCCGAAACUGCCGUGCUAGAGUGCGGGAGAGGCGAGUGGAAUUGCAGGUGUAGCGGUGAAAUGCGUAGAUAUCUGCAGGAACACCCGUGGCGAAGGCGGCUCGCUGGACCGUAACUGACGCUGAGGAACGAAAGCUAGGGGAGCAAACAGG
RNAcentral lists this ribosomal RNA (253 nucleotides) under uncultured bacterium. RNAcentral's name for it is "partial 16S ribosomal RNA". It matches the Rfam family "Bacterial small subunit ribosomal RNA", at positions 524 to 776 of the family's 1533-position model. The record is from RNAcentral.